Molecule: non-coding RNA, 1259 nt
Organism: Punica granatum (pomegranate)
Lineage: Eukaryota; Viridiplantae; Streptophyta; Magnoliopsida; Myrtales; Lythraceae
Source: RefSeq, a predicted model, not a curated record
UGCUCCUUAUGUCAUAAAUCAAUCCAAGCACCUCUGCUGAGGCCAAGCAAGUAAUCGAGGUCGAACGCAUAAUUGCACCCUUUCAGCUGCAUACACCCUACUCCGGGAACCUUGGCAACUCCAUUGUUGACACUCACUCGUCACUGCACACCUCCUCCAUCCCUACCCAAAAUGCUCUCUCGCUUGCUUCCUAAAUCCUCCCAUCUUCAUCUACUAUCGGUGAUCACAUCCAAAUCCCAGUCUUACCCUCCCGGCACUUCUCUUCGAAUCACGACAGCGGUGGGAGAGACCCGAAGAUCUCUGACUCGUGGAAGCUUUCCAAGGAGAGCGAGGGGAGUUUCGACGGUAUCUACGACGAUGAGUCCGGCAGGAACUUGGGGGGAUUUGGUGAGGAAGCAGAGGAAAAGGGGGGCGGCGGAAGAUGACUGGCUGACAGCCGACGGGUUCGAUCCGUAGAAGCUAGGUGAGGAGGAGGUGAAGGAAGAUCUGUUUGAUUUCGGGGAGAGUGCCGAGGUCGUGGCUGAUACAAAGGUGAGAGCGGCGGCACUGAGGGGUUGAAGACGGAAAUGACAGAGGGAGGAGCAGCGAAAUACUGUGGAGAAGAGAAAGAGCUCACUGAGCUGAGAUUGUCAAAAGUUUGAUAGCUCUCAAGGACUUUGAAGGCAUCAGAGGACUGCCGCCUCUGAGUUCAAAGACAUGUGCUAUGAGUUCUUCACAUUCUCUGGCAAGAUCGAGCACGUCGAGAUCCGAAGGUACACGUAUAGUCGGAACAACCGUGAUGCAUGUUUACCUUACCUCAUGUUUAAAUAAUGUGGCUGGUUUAGUUGCUUUGUGGUAAUAGUUCAUCCAUAGGCAAAUGGACAAUCUUUAAUUUGUGAUUUUGAUGUCUCAUUGUGAGUUGGGAACUUUUUGCUCGGAUGGAUCGAUAUCGUGGUUUCAUGUUUUUUUGUUGGUGGUCUAGUUGCUCUGUUGGUAUCUUUUCCUUUCGCAGGUGGAGAAAAGAUGCUUCUCUUAUUAGCGCAUGUAGCAGUUCAGAUGGUUAAAAGGGCUUCUUUCAACACCUAGAUGAUGUCAAGCCACGAAAUUACAAAGGUCGUUUUCCCUAUGCUUGAUGAGGACCACCUUGCUCGAUGAAGAAGCAUCGAUGUAGAGGUUCAAAUGAUGACACAACCCAAUAAUCACAGCCACUGUUUUUGUAUGAACUUUAUUAUUGUUGUUGGUAUUAUUGAUUUAAUAAUAAACUUAAGACGUUGCCUUUG